AACGAACGCUGGCGGCAUGCCUAACACAUGCAAGUCGAACGAACCCUUCGGGGUUAGUGGCGCACGGGUGCGUAACGCGUGGGAAUCUGCCCUUUGGUUCGGAAUAACUCAGGGAAACUUGAGGUAAUACCGGAUGAUGACUUCGGUCCAAAGAUUUAUCGCCAAAGGGAUGAGCCCGCGUAGGAUUAGCUAGUUGGUGGGGUAAUGGCCACCAAGGCGACGAUCCUUAGCUGGUCUGAGAGGANGAUCAGCCACACUGGGACUGAGACACGGCCCA
RNAcentral lists this ribosomal RNA (277 nucleotides) under uncultured bacterium. RNAcentral's name for it is "partial 16S ribosomal RNA". It matches the Rfam family "Bacterial small subunit ribosomal RNA", at positions 29 to 333 of the family's 1533-position model. The record is from RNAcentral.